GGAUUCCCCUAGUAACUGCGAGUGAAGCGGGAAAAGCUCAAAUUUAAAAUCUGGUAGUCUUUGGCUGCCCGAGUUGUAAUCUAGAGAAGCGUUAUCCGCGCUGGACCGUGUAUAAGUCUCCUGGAAUGGAGCGUCAUAGAGGGUGAGAAUCCCGUCUUUGACACGGACUACCAGGGCUUUGUGAUGCGCUCUCAAAGAGUCGAGUUGUUUGGGAAUGCAGCUCUAAAUGGGUGGUAAAUUCCAUCUAAAGCUAAAUAUUGGCGAGAGACCGAUAGCGAACAAGUACCGUGAGGGAAAGAUGAAAAGAACUUUGGAAAGAGAGUUAAACAGUACGUGAAAUUGUUGAAAGGGAAACGCUUGAAGUCAGUCGCGUUUGUCAGGGAUCAACCUUGCUUUUGCUUGGUGUACUUCCUGGCUAACGGGUCAGCAUCAAUUUUGACCAGUGGAAAAAGGUCGAGGGAAUGUGGCAUCUUCGGAUGUGUUAUAGCCCUUGAUUGUAUACAUUGGUUGGGAUUGAGGAACUCAGCACGCCGCAAGGCCGGGUUUUUAACCACGUUCGUGCUUAGGAUGCUGGCAUAAUGGCUUUAAUCGACCCGUCUUGAAACACGGACCAAGGAGUCUAACAUGCCUGCGAGUGUUUGGGUGGAAAACCCAAGCGCGUAAUGAAAGUGAAAGUUGGGAUCUCUGUCGUGGAGAGCACCGACGCCCGGACCAGACCUUCUGUGACGGAUCCGCGGUAGAGCAUGUAUGUUGGGACCCGAAAGAUGGUGAACUAUGCCUGAAUAGGGUGAAGCCAGAGGAAACUCUGGUGGAGGCUCGUAGCGAUUCUGACGUGCAAAUCGAUCGUCGAA
Molecule: ribosomal RNA, 851 nt
Filed under: Entoloma halophilum
Lineage: Eukaryota; Fungi; Basidiomycota; Agaricomycetes; Agaricales; Entolomataceae
Description: eukaryotic LSU rRNA
Rfam family: Eukaryotic large subunit ribosomal RNA
Source: RNAcentral